This 424-nucleotide ribosomal RNA is filed under the name uncultured bacterium. RNAcentral describes it as "partial 16S ribosomal RNA". It matches the Rfam family "Bacterial small subunit ribosomal RNA", at positions 359 to 775 of the family's 1533-position model. The record is from RNAcentral.
GAAUAUUGGACAAUGGGCGAAAGCCUGAUCCAGCCAUGCCGCGUGCGUGAAGAAGGUCUUCGGAUUGUAAAGCACUGUAAGUUGGGAGGAAGGGCAGUAAGCGAAUACCUUGCUGUUUUGACGUUACCGACAGAAUAAGGACCGGCUAACUUCGUGCCCGUAGCCGCGGUAAUACAGAGGGUGCAAGCGUUACUAGGAAUUACUGGGCGUACAGCGCGCGUAGGUGGUUCGUUAAGUUGGAUGUGAAAUCCCCGGGCUCAACCUGGGAACUGCAUCCAAAACUGGCGAGCUAGAGUAGGGCAGAGGGUGGUGGAAUUUCCUGUGUAGCGGUGAAAUGCGUAGAUAUAGGAAGGAACACCAGUGGCGAAGGCGACCACCUGGGCUCAUACUGACACUGAGGUGCGAAAGCGUGGGGAGCAAACAG